This 577-nucleotide ribosomal RNA is filed under the name uncultured bacterium. Its description in RNAcentral is "bacterial SSU rRNA". It matches the Rfam family "Bacterial small subunit ribosomal RNA", at positions 345 to 912 of the family's 1533-position model. The record is from RNAcentral.
GAGGCAGCAGUGGGGAAUAUUGGACAAUGGGCGCAAGCCUGAUCCAGCAAUGCCGCGUGUGUGAAGAAGGCUCUAGGGUUGUAAAGCACUUUCAGUAGGGAAGAAACGCAGGUCGCUAAUACCGAUCUGUAAUGACGUUACCUACAGAAGAAGCACCGGCUAACUCCGUGCCAGCAGCCGCGGUAAUACGGAGGGUGCAAGCGUUAAUCGGAAUUACUGGGCGUAAAGGGCGCGUAGGCGGUUCGGUUAGUCGGAUGUGAAAGCCCCGGGCUCAACCUGGGAAUUGCACUCGAUACUGCCGAGCUAGAGUGUGGUAGAGGGAAGCGGAAUUCCGGGUGUAGCGGUGAAAUGCGUAGAUAUCCGGAGGAACAUCAGUGGCGAAGGCGGCUUCCUGGACCAACACUGACGCUGAGGCGCGAAAGCGUGGGGAGCAAACAGGACUAGAUACCCUGGUAGUCCACGCCCUAAACGAUGAGAACUAGCCGUUGGGGGUAUUUGAAACCUUUAGUGGCGCAGCUAACGCGAUAAGUUCUCCGCCUGGGGAGUACGACCGCAAGGUUAAAACUCAAAGGAAUUG